GUUUUAAGUAUAUUUUUAUUGUUAUUUUAAAUGGCAUUCAAGUUUAGCUUCAAGUUCAACAGCAGUCUUAGCCUACUUCCUCCCACACAAAUACUCCUGCCAGUAAAUAGGCACUCUUAAAUAAAACAGUGCCUGCAAGAACCUUCUGACCCAUUGAAAUUAGUCUUGCCCUGUCUUCAGAGGUGUAUUCGUCCCUCUCUGGGUGUAGAGCGGUAUUUAAGGGUGACACUCGGGCACGCAGGAGGUGUGGCAGGGGGCGGGGAAUGCAAGGUCACUGUGGCUCAGGGGCGGGUGUGGGUGCAGGCGCGUUGGGAGGACCCUGGGCGCCCUGGGAAGUCCGAGGGCAGGCGGCAGGGCUGGCGGGCAGCAGUGCUGGCUUCCGACGUGAGGUGGUGACGGCGGGCCCUGCGCCCAGGCCCUGUGCUGCCGACCGCUGUCCUGGCUGCGCAGCUCCCCAGCAGGCGCCGGGCUCAGGUCGCGCCUUCAGUUAGCGCUCAGCCUGCGCUACUGCGUCUCCUCCGCUUGCGAUUUCUGGUCGGAUCCCAGCUGGCCCAGACUUGCUCUGAAGUAGGAGGAACCGCUGUCGAGCGAAAAGUGCACACCGGGUGAUUGAUGAACUCUUAAUAGAACUAACCUCUCCUGCCCCCAACCCUAGACACACACAGAGAAAACCUCCACCCCAGCCCCUUCUCCAGUCCUCCUCGCGGGCGAGAGGGGACGCGGCCGCCAGCCGGUAGGGUGAUUAACUCACCGUCUGUCUUUGCAAAAGUGUUCCAGGUGGAUCAGGAGCGCCAGCCCACCCCGCCCGCAGCCUGGCCGCUCGCUGAGGCGCGGAGAGCGCGGAACGAGCGCGCGCAUCACGUGGCGGCGCGGACGUUUGUGCCGCGCGCCCGCCAGACCGCCCAGGAGGCGGCGGCUAUUGUUCCCCGCAGGGGCCCGGGGCGCCCUGAAACGGGGUCCACGUCAGCCCGCUCCCGAGCGUGUCCUCAGGUCUAAGGACGGGUGGGGCUUCCUUUGUGUGUUCUCUGGAAGGGGCUGGGAUGGCGUCGUUGCUGCCCCAAGGGGUAACCGAGGGGGAUUGAGGGAAGAUGGUACCAGCUCCCUAGAGCUCAGCUCACCAGACCUACUCUUCCGCUCGACCCUUGCAGAGGAGGUGGGGACGGAUAUGGUAUUUGUAGGGCAGCGCUGUGAACAAUGGAGCCAUCAAAAAGGCCUUCUCCCAGCCUCCUCACCAACCACGGACAUUCCUGGCCCAACAAGACCUCCUGGCCAGGUUUUGAGCCCUGCUUCCCAGAUCUGGGGACCCUUCACCUGCCUCUACUACUGCAAAUGAUUGGAUAUUCGUCUGACUUGGCUCUUCCCUAAUGUGUGGAACUAAUUUUGUUCACUCUGUUUCAUGCUGGACCUGGCCUGAAAAUGGGCCCUUAUAUUGUCUUUGCACUUUCCAACUUGCCAAGUUUCUGAAAGAAGGACCAAAGUAAUGCCAAGAACUCCCAGAUGAAGAGGACCUUCCUUAGACCUAUAACAGAUUCACUACUUGACUUCAGAGGGAAGUUUCAGCUAAUUCUCAGGAAAAGGUCAAAACAGGCCUGUGACUGUCCCUUGAAUACUGAAGGUAUAAACAAGCUUCUGGCUCCUCCAGGUCAAGCAGAGGAACACUUUUAUUAGAAUGAAGGGUUACUUCUUUGUUAUUCAAACACACACCCACACACAUCCUCUGUAGUCUCCCUAAUGAAAAACCUCAACAGAUGGAGAGCCUGAGCUCCCAAGUCCGCAGGCUGAGAAGAUGCACUUCACUCAAGGGCCAGUGGGCUGGUACAGACUAGGGAAGAGAAAAGGGACAAAGGCUGCUAGUAUAGGUAAUCACUAUCUUUUAAUACUCCUAACACAUAGAAAUUCGAAAAAUCUUGUUCAGCAAUGUUAGCAGCCUGUGAGCCUCGGAAACUAAUUUGGCUGAUGUGUCUCUGAUAGGGAGCUUGGGGCUGCACCAAGGGGAAACAUUCUCCUCCUGUAUUCUCUCCUCUCUCUCGUUUGAAAGCCUGUACAAAGAAAUGGUACAAAUGGAUGGUUAACUUAAUGAUUCCAUCAGAGGCAGAUUUUUCUCUGUCAGGUCCCUGGAUAAGGUGGAGGUCUGAAAGCCAGGAGACAGAAUAUGUACUUAAUCGCCCUUUCUGACCUGCUUACCAGUGACCAGGACUACUCUCCAGGCCUUUCUUCUGCCACUUCCCCAUUCUUCCUGGCUAGUUCAGUUGGGUCUCAGCACUUCAACUCCUGGCUGGAUCCUGAGUUUUUCUUGGUUGCAGGGAAAGCUCUCACUGUCUGCAUCUCCUUCCCCACCCCCACCUCCCGUUUUGCAGCUGGCCAUUCUGGCUGCCUCACAGCUAUCCUGCCUUAAUUCAUAUUUGAUUGCCUGGACAGAACCACCUAGAAUGUCCAGACGACUGCCACCCCUCAGCCAUGGGCCUGAGAUCCUGCCCUGACCCCUUUCUUCAGACCCCAGGAGGACCCACAAUCUCCCUGAUCCCCACCUUCCCCAAAGUAGUCUCUAGGAAAAAAGCAGAGCUGGCUAAGGCCUGAGACAGAGCCAUUUCUUCCCCUUGGGCAAACGAGGUAGACCCUCCCAGAGACCAAUGCCGGAGAGGCCCGGAUCCGAGCUCCCUUUAUAUGGCCUCCCCCAUCACGGAUCCCGUGGGAAAACCUGACACACAAUGGCGCGGCUGCUCCGGGCACCCUCAACCCAGCGCCCUGCGGCAAGGCCUGGAGCAGCCUGGUGGUCUUGGUGCGCUCCCUUUGCCCUCCCCGCAACCCUCUGCGAGCACUCGUCCCAGGAGAGAGACCCUGGCUAGGGUGGAGGUUGCCUCCCGCAAAGGGCGCUGUUGCUGGGGCCUCCCCUCCCCCAUUCUCUUGUUUUUCUGCUUCUGAGACUCGGGAGGGAGGCGGCAGGCGCCUCCGCAGCCGAUAGAGCAGCUAUUGUGACCUUCCCUUGCAGAGCGGGAACCCAGCCGAGUGUGUACCGCCGGCGGUGGCGGGGGAGGAGGCGACUGUGUGUGCAAACCUCAGUCGGAGAGGGGGUGGCGCUGGGAAAUAAAGGUUUGCAACCUCAGGCAGUUGGGCCCUUCAGAGGGCGUUUGGUUGUGUUUAGACUCGGUUGCUUUCUAACACUAAUUGCAGGCUCAAAAGGAGCGGAAUUUAUUGCGAAGGCCAAGGCGGCUUGUUUAUAAUUUAUGAAGUUUUAAAUGGCUGUGCCGCGGGCCCCAACUUUCUCCUGGGCUGGCAGCCGCGCGGAAACGCGCCCUCCCCCGGCUCGCCGCCCACCCCCACCCACGCCCCUCAGAUGAGUCUCACGCCAAUGGCAGGAACAGAUCCGAGCUAUUAGAAGUCUCGGGAACCUCCAGAGAUGACAGAAGGUGGCAGAUUUGGUCCAAGCCCUCACCCCACUCGAGAGGAGGGCGUCGGGGAAAGCUGUGGCUGCCUGGAGAGGGAGCCCCUGAUCCCACACUUCCUUGGAGCCUGAGUGUGAGAGGAAGCUAAUGUCAGCCGGGCUAGACACCGUUUAAAGUCUAAUCCAUGAAACCCUAAGCCGCAAAUGACACUUGGGGCUUUGCAGACACCCGCAGACUCAGCAGAUACUCCUGCGGUAACACACUGUGCUGGAAAACGCCUGGAGCCAUGACACAUUACGUAUUUUUAUUAUUAUUUAUGGUAGGAAGAGGAGAUGAGGGAAAAUCGGGCUGAAUCUAAGCAGCCUGACAAUUCAGCUAGUUAAUAUUUAGCCAGUUAAGAAAGGUGGUUGUAAUCCCUGCAAGGCAGUGAGCUCUCCUUUGAUUUCUCUAAUAGCUUAAAAAAUAAUUUCUUACAAGACAAUUAGAAAUUCUGCCUAUGGAUGCAAAUUUCAUAGAAAACAAUGUUAAGCCUUGAAAGUGGGUAAAAUGUGCCUUCGAUUGAAGUCAUUUAUUCUGUUGAUACACUUCUACAACAUAUAUAUUUUAAACCUGCUCAGAUAAAGUGAAAUUUAGCAAAAGGAUAUCCCCUCCCACCCCCAAAUCUAACAUGCCAUUUUAAAAACAGCACAAAGGAACAAGGAAACUAAAUAUUAUUUUGAGCCAUCAUUACUUAGUGAAAUACAAACAUCCAAAUAGAAACGAUUGUUGUUCCACCAGAAGAUUAGAAGUUAAAUUAUUUCCACACAAUAGGAAUUUCACUUCGUGUCAUCGGGGAUGUAGUAGGAGUUGCAUUAUUUGUCAAACCAAAUAGAGAUGCGUGGGCUGACUUUGCUGAAAUACAAAAGAAUUGAACCUUAUCUGAAGGCGUUUUCUAAGUGGCCCCUCCCAUAGAAGCCGGGAAGUUGUCCACCCCUAGCAGAAGCCACAUUAAUAUUUACAAAAUGGUUAUAAAUCCUUGAAGACAUUUUUGCCCAUUUUGUAUAAGAAACAGGAGUAAACAAGGUGUUUAUACUUGUUAUGUUUCAUUAAUGAAAUAUUAUUACUUUACAUCUUGGGGAAUGUUUGUUUUCUUUAGAAAUGAACUAAUGAUCACUACAAAGGAAGAAUUCAUGACAGCAUUUCCUAGAGAAAAAGCUUAGGUACGCGUCUCCAAAUGAUGGUUUCUUUUUCUACACCUUAGCUUUUUCAUAGCUCAAUUCUUCUUACAACUUCUCUUGUGUUUUUUCUUUGAUUGUCAGUUUUCUUUCAAAGUUUAUUUUUUGUUACUUAAUGCAGAAAAGUGAGCUCUGGUCUCCCCAGUGUAAAAGUCGAUUGUGUCUAGAAAGAAGGCAGUAAAAACAGCAAAGCAGGCGCUGCUUUCAAAAAGCCCUGCCCAAAUCAUCCCGCCCAGAACCUUCUUAGGUUUGCAUCCUCAUUUCCCCCUCCCCUAAUUUCAAUAGCUGGAAAGUAAUCAAGUAUCCCGAGAACCAAUUUAUGCACUAGACUCCAAAUAAAUAAAAUAUUUUUUUCAAAGUGUCAGUCUGUUUCGGGGCCUUCCAUGGGGAUUGUGCGAGAUAAAGGCAUAGUGAUCUGCUUGCAAGUGUGCAUGAUUAACACAGAUACAGUUCCGACUGGGAAAUUUUUUUAUUCUAAAUAUUUGUUCCAAUAGUACCAGACAAUUUGAAAUCAAUAAACUGUGGUGAGGACUGUGGUUUUUGAGAAAUGACCAAAGUGUGUUGUGCCACGCCACCGGGCUUCCUGACUCUACCCAUGAAGGACAAUUUGCGGUCUUAAUCCUUUAUGUCAACUACAAACACCAGCCACGGUUACGACUGUUCAAAACUACUCUCUCAACUAGUUCAGACCAGGGGGACUAAGGAGGUGAAAUGUGGCCCCCACGGCCUGGAAGCGAAUUCCUAAGCUCGGCUGGAUAAAUCUACAAAUAUACACAUAAAUACAUUCAGACAAGGAUAAAUAAUCAGGGAACGAAAUGACUCGCUUCAAAUAAUAAAUACAGAUAGUUUAGUCCGAUGCAAUCCUUACGGCACAGGAAGGAGAAUAUAAAUUAAGGUCUCUGAAACUAAGCUAGACGCGGGCCAGGCCCAAGACUCUCCAAGCUCUGGUCCCUCUGCAGGGCGCGCCGCUGAUGGGUCUCAGACUUACCUUUGGGACACCAUUACCAGAUUGGAGUCCCUUGGUCCGCAGUAUGUGGCACUGUCAAAUUUACAGGGAAGGAUCCUUGCGGCUGAUUUAUGGCGAGUCACCCAAAGGACGCCCAUGGAGGGGAGGCCCGGUCGCCUGCGCCUCCGCCGCUGGAGGCCUGAGACCCGGGAGGCGGCGGCAGGGCAAGAGCGGGGAAGGGGGUUCCCGAACUGCCCCGCGGGCCCCACC
RNAcentral lists this long non-coding RNA (5813 nucleotides) under Homo sapiens (human). Its description in RNAcentral is "non-protein coding HAGLR:14". The record is from RNAcentral. Lineage: Eukaryota; Metazoa; Chordata; Mammalia; Primates; Hominidae.